Molecule: transfer RNA, 86 nt
Filed under: Candidatus Parcubacteria bacterium
Lineage: Bacteria; Candidatus Parcubacteria
Description: tRNA-Leu
Rfam family: tRNA
About the family: Transfer RNA (tRNA) molecules are approximately 80 nucleotides in length. Their secondary structure includes four short double-helical elements and three loops (D, anti-codon, and T loops).
Source: RNAcentral
GAGCAGGUGGCGGAAUUGGUAGACGCGACAGGCUUAGGACCUGUUGGGUUUUUCCCGUGUGGGUUCGAAUCCCACCCUGCUCACAA